Long non-coding RNA from Triticum dicoccoides, 3811 nucleotides. RefSeq lists it as uncharacterized. Lineage: Eukaryota; Viridiplantae; Streptophyta; Magnoliopsida; Poales; Poaceae. The transcript is spliced from 4 exons. The record is from RefSeq and is a predicted model, not a curated record.
UCUCCAGCCUCCUUUCAAAAAAAAAAAAAAAAACUCUCUCCAGCCUCCGCCGUUCCUACUGCCGUACUACCGCCGUACUACCGGCAAGGCCGGAGACGGCUACGGUCGCCAUGGAGGAUGAGAAGGCGGCCGCCGUGCCUCGCGUGGGAGGAUGGAGGAUGCCUCACCGGGGCGUGUGCUCGGGUCAGGGGCGGCGUCCUUGCCGGCGGGACUAGCGCCUAUCGGCUGCGGCUUCGCGCCAGGUCAGUCGCCGCGGUUGGCUUCUUCAAUUGACGGCAGUGGAGGCGGCCAAGCGAAGUGAUCUGUUGACAGGAAACAAGUGCUUUGGCUCAAGUUGGUACCUGGCAAUGCGAGUCCUUUUUCAUGAUGUGAGUCCUGAUCAAGAAAAUAAUGCAUUAGUGGCCGGAAUGAUAAACUGGAUAAAUAUACAUAGCUAAUCAAUCUGUAUUGUUUGCAAGUUACCGCUCGUUGCAUAGAGAGAAAUAUCUUUGUGCAUUGGAGCAUUCCAUUGGCUGCCAUAUGUUACCUAAGCUGACAGCCACAAGGUGUUGUGCUGUCCUCCUGACCUGGUCGCUGUUGAAUGCACUGCGGGGAAGACAACAGAGACAUGCUCCGGAUACUUGCGGGCACCAAUUGCCAUCUGGGCUACAUGGAGAAGGAUGAGAUAUGGAGGUUUGAUUCAUUUGAGGCUUUUGAGGAGAUAUGCUCGUUAGCAAAGCAGAAGGAGGUAGACUUUGUGCUUCUCGGUGGUGACCUGAUCCAUGAGGACAAGCCUUCGCGUUCGACCUUGGUGAAGACCAUUGUGAUUCUACGCCACUACUUCCUACCCCUCUGUCCCAUAAUGUAAGACAUUUUUUGACACUACAGUAGUGUCAAAAAGCCUUACAUUAUGGGACGAAGGGAGUAAAUGAUAUACCAGUCAAGUUUCAGGUUGUCAAUGAUCAGACAGUCAACUUCCCAAACAGGUUGAGCAAUGAAUCUCAAAGCUCAACGUUCCAUUUCAUAAUGUUCCUUCGAAUUUUGGAAUCACUCGAUUUAAAUUCAAGAAGGACGAACCAUGCAUGGAUCGUCGGAGCGAAUUGGAUGAUCGGGCCAAGGGCUGCCCCCUCUUCCCCUCGCUCUCCUUUCCUUAAUAUUCACCGUCCACAUGAGUUUCCAUGAGCAAGCCUGUUACUUUUAACGUAUUUUGAUCUUAUUAAUCUCUUUAGCAUGCAUGAAAACCGCAGGAAAGAUGUGCGCAAUCAUAUUCUUGUACUUCAUGUUCGCAGAUGAAUUUUCCUCUUGCAUUACCAGUUUUGGCCAUGUAAACUAUGAAGACCCACAUUUCAAUGUUGGCUUGCAUGUGUUCACUAUCCAUGGAAAUCAUGAUGAUCCUGCUGGUGUAGUAUGAGCUUCUUUUUAUGAUCUUUUGAAUCGUAUGGGUUUCUACUGAAAUUGUCUGUAUUAUGUCUCUCGACUUUCUUUUAUGCAUUCGUUCAUUUUGCCUCAUUGUAGGAUAACCUCUCUGCUAUCCAUAUCCUUUCGGCUUGCAAUCUUGUAAACUAUUUUGGGAAGAUAGACCUUGGCGGCUCCGUUGUUCGUCAAAUAGUUGUCCAUCCAGUACUUGUUAAAAAGGGUACAACUACAGUUGCACUAUAUGGCCUUGGGAACAUUUGAGAUGAGCGACUGAACAAAAUGUUUCAGGUGCCUUUCCAUUCUGGUGUACAUAUAGGUAGGCCGGCAUUGGCAUUCGCCAUCUGGCAUCCCAAUGAGAUGAUGAGGAGGUGACUGCUGCUAUAAACCAAACAAAAGCAAAAUUCAAUUUAAUUGUAGAGAUGGGCAUACAUACAUGCAUAUGCGCGCGGGGGCCGAUGAUUGGAUCAAACUCCUGAUGAUUAGCUUCUUAUACUCUAUUCUUGUGUUCAUGGCAAGGGAAAUUAUCUUCUUAUUUUUGUUGAUUCAGUAUAGUGGUUGACACCUGAGCUGAAACCUGAAAACAUCUCAACCUGUUUGUUGGCCAUUUCAAUGUGUCAUCUUAUUGGAAAACUAUUAGCUGCAGAAUUUAGCCACAGAACGCGCGUAUAGCCUACGGAGAGAAUAACGUGCGCGGCAUGGCCAAGGAAGAGAAACGCGAGCGGCUGUCAUGGCUCUCGCUGGACACGAACGGCGCUUGCACCAGGUUGGUCUGCUUGUAGCUGUUGCAUCUCCAGGUUUAUUAAUGAUGCUAUUUUUUUUCAUUCUAUACUCCGUUUAAAUUUCAGUUCAAAUUUAUAGUUUAAUGCUCUGUAGGGAAGCACAGACAUUAUGCUAUAUUAUGAUCAUCUUUUAUGUGUCUACUGGAACCACCGGAUUAAAGUUGUUCUUUCUUUUGAGGGAUAGACUUUGUUUUGAUGUUUCAACAAAAAAUGCAGCUGGUACAAUCGGAUUUAGCAAACAAAUGGGUGACCAAGCAUGGUGCUGUUGCACUUGCUUGCCUUGGCUAUGGAGAGAAAUUAUGUAACGAAGUUAGUAAUUUAUAAUGUUCGCAGCCCAUUGUUCGUGCUUAUAUUUGCAGUAAACAAGUUAAAUAAAUCGGUGUGUGCUAUGAAAAACAAAGGAAGAAAACUUACUCCUUUUAACUAUUGUAUGAAGUAUAUAUUAAUAUUUUUUGAGGGCAAGUAUAUAUUAAUAUUAGGUAGAGGUAGAAGAGAUGCUUUCUAUGCGAGAAUAGUUUUUUCUUCAAGAAUGACCCUUACUUUUGAAUAGAUCAUAACGCCGUAGGGUCUGGAUGUUACUAUGCAGCACUGGUGGGCGUUUUGGCUACCUUUUUUUUUAGCUAAACACAGUGUUAUGCUUGCACAUAUUAUUCUCAUCAAAUUAAAAAAUUUAGUACAUUUCUCCCGUUGUAACGCACGGGCAUACAUGCUAGUAUAAUAUAUAUCAAAGUAUAUACAGUAUUGCUUUUUCAUAGUUCUCACCAGCAUCGUCUCAGAAAAAAUGAAAAAUACUCCCUCCGUCCCCAAAAACAUGUCGCGAGGGCGAUUUUGCAAAAAAAACCUCUAAUUUCUCCCGACCAAACCCGCGCUCCCUCGUCGUCCUCCUCCGACAGAAGCCGCAUCUGCGCUGCUCCCCGCCGCCGCAGCUGCGCUGCUCCCGGCCGCUGCAGCUGCCCUGCUCCCCGCGAACGCAGCUCCCUGCUCCCCCGCUCCGUCGCCGCAGCUGCCUCCUGCUCCGCCGCCGCACCUGCCCCUCGCCUGCCUCCCCAAGCUCCCCCUUCCUCAUAAAAAUCUUCGAUUUCCCCGGCUACCGCCGCGCUCUGCUCCGGCUGCGUAGGAACCGGCGUUAGUGAGCCCGGAGGCGCUGGAUCCUGACCAUCACCAACAAUCUAAAGGUCGAUGAGGCCGACGAGCCCCAUGGCGACAGGAGAUGCAACAAGGUAAACGCCGAUGAGCCUAACGACAACAGCAACCUAAAGCUUGUGGAUUUGCGAGUGUUGAAGACGGCGACGACAACUCCACUAGGAAUACGACCGCGGCGGCUUCUUCUUCGUUGUUUCUCUGGUGGAAGACCCGCGCCUGCGACACCGCGGCAGCAGCGGCGGCUGUCCAGUGGGUCGUCCCUGCUCACUUGGCAGCAGCGGCGGCGGCUACAAAUCUUCUCCAGCCUGGGUCAUCUCCGUCAUCAACGCCUACAGCCUGGGUAUGAACCUCUCUUCUCUACUCAUCUACUGAAUGUACUGAACGUGCGUAGUAUCUGAACUGAAUUUUACUGAAUGUGUGUAUUCUCUGUCUACUGAAUUUUAGUGAAUGUACUCCUGUAAACUGAAUGUACUCUUGUAAAGUGUGCUGUCAAC